This 462-nucleotide long non-coding RNA is filed under the name Mus pahari (shrew mouse). RNAcentral describes it as "lncRNA (MGP_PahariEiJ_G0005745.1)". The record is from RNAcentral. Lineage: Eukaryota; Metazoa; Chordata; Mammalia; Rodentia; Muridae.
AAUUGAGAGACCUGGCAGGGUAUCUGGCCAGUCUUUUGUUGAGCUAGCUGGGCAGGCUUGAGCCCUGAGGAUCAAACUGGGGAGCAAUGGGAGAAUUCUGGAGAGACUGCUGAUGGAGGGAAGAGGACCGAGCCCUAACCUCUCUGCAUCCUUCCCUCCACAGAAGCAGCCAUCCAUCCAGAAGCUGCCUCCGGUUGGUUCUGUUUGUCUGGAUGACAUCGUAGGUGGCCGGCAUCUCUGGCUUUGGGUCCUGCACUACAUUCCAGAUCUGAGGAGGCAUAGCUGCCCCGGGGUUACUGGGCUUGGACUUGGACGAGAGCAGUGGUAGGAAGGAUCUCAUAUAAGUCAUGUAAGACAUAGAAUGUUCAGAUCAACUGAAGCUGAAACAAGCCUUUGGCAUCAUAUACAACCCAGAGAGGGACCCAGGUUAUCCAGCUGCAGGUCCCUUGAAUGCUUGGUUUA